This 333-nucleotide ribosomal RNA is filed under the name Triticum aestivum (bread wheat). Its description in RNAcentral is "partial small subunit ribosomal RNA". Lineage: Eukaryota; Viridiplantae; Streptophyta; Magnoliopsida; Poales; Poaceae. The record is from RNAcentral.
AUGGGUGAAAUUCCCCUAGGUAUAGGCCGCCUAUCCAAUCUAAGAAAAGUAUGGCCUUCCUCAAAUAAUCUCACUGGAACAAUCCCACCAAGCCUAAGAAACAAUAGUCAGCUUGAAGACAUCGUGCUUACUAAUAAUAAGCUCACGGGAACCAUUCCUGAUGAGAUUGGAAUUUUCCCAUCUCUUGUUUAUCUAGACCUUGCUGGAAAUAUGCUAUCAGGUGGAAUUCCAGAAACCUUGUACAAAUACAAUCAGUCUUCUGUCCAAUUUUUGGGGCUUCCUCCCAAUAGAGCUUGGCGGCUUAAAGCAGCUCACCCAUCUGGAUCUGUCUGA